This is a long non-coding RNA of Sebastes umbrosus (honeycomb rockfish), 399 nucleotides long. RefSeq lists it as uncharacterized. NCBI's taxonomy places the organism in Eukaryota, Metazoa, Chordata, Actinopteri, Perciformes, Sebastidae. The transcript is spliced from 3 exons. The record is from RefSeq and is a predicted model, not a curated record.
UAAGAAAAUAUCGAAAAUAUCAAGUAUCGCGAUAUUUUGUUUAUGAUACUGUAUCGAUUCUCAAAAACACUGUAUCAAUUUUUAAUUGAUAGUUUACGUGCAAAAAUUUGUGGCUCAGAUUGCACCAAAAGUAGUGCUAAGAUGUUGAGUGUUAAAGGGACUGUGAUAAGUUUACUUUUUUUUUUAACUCAGAUUUUAUUAAUUUGGCGAUGUGUUCUUUAUACUAUGACACUUUUACUAAAAUUAGAUUUAAAAGAAUCAAAAUAUAUCGUCUUGUUUACAGUAUCACAAUAUAUUGAAUCGUAACCCCUGUAUCAUGAUACCUAUCGUAUCGCCAGGUUCUUGCCAAUACCGUAGACUGUAUAUAAGAAGUGGACGUAGUCACUGUGACAUCACCAU